GUCUAUGGCCAUACCACCCUGAACGUACCCGAUCUCGUCUGAUCUCGGAAGCUAAGCAGGGUCUGGCCUGGUUAGUACUUGGAUGGGAGAUCGCCUGGGAAUACCGGGUGCUGUAGGCU
This 119-nucleotide ribosomal RNA is filed under the name Canis lupus familiaris (dog). Lineage: Eukaryota; Metazoa; Chordata; Mammalia; Carnivora; Canidae. The record is from RNAcentral. RNAcentral also lists the same sequence under 1 other name.